UAGUGAUUAGAGUUUGAUCCUGGCUCAGGACGAACGCUGGCGGCGUGCCUAAUACAUGCAAGUCGAACGAACUCUGGUAUUGAUUGGUGCUUGCAUCAUGAUUUACAUUUGAGUGAGUGGCGAACUGGUGAGUAACACGUGGGAAACCUGCCCAGAAGCGGGGGAUAACACCUGGAAACAGAUGCUAAUACCGCAUAACAACUUGGACCGCAUGGUCCGAGUUUGAAAGAUGGCUUCGGCUAUCACUUUUGGAUGGUCCCGCGGCGUAUUAGCUAGAUGGUGGGGUAACGGCUCACCAUGGCAAUGAUACGUAGCCGACCUGAGAGGGUAAUCGGCCACAUUGGGACUGAGACACGGCCCAAACUCCUACGGGAGGCAGCAGUAGGGAAUCUUCCACAAUGGACGAAAGUCUGAUGGAGCAACGCCGCGUGAGUGAAGAAGGGUUUCGGCUCGUAAAACUCUGUUGUUAAAGAAGAACAUAUCUGAAAGUAACUGUUCAGGUAUUGACGGUAUUUAACCAGAAAGCCACGGCUAACUACGUGCCAGCAGCCGCGGUAAUACGUAGGUGGCAAGCGUUGUCCGGAUUUAUUGGGCGUAAAGCGAGCGCAGGCGGUUUUUUAAGUCUGAUGUGAAAGCCUUCGGCUCAACCGAAGAAGUGCAUCGGAAACUGGGAAACUUGAGUGCAGAAGAGAGGACAGUGGAACUCCAUGUGUAGCGGUGAAAUGCGUAGAUAUAUGGAAGAACACCAGUGGCGAAGGCGGCUGUCUGGUCUGUAACUGACGCUGAGGCUCGAAAGUAUGGGUAGCAAACAGGAUUAGAUACCCUGGUAGUCCAUACCGUAAACGAUGAAUGCUAAGUGUUGGAGGGUUUCCGCCCUUCAGUGCUGCAGCUAACGCAUUAAGCAUUCCGCCUGGGGAGUACGGCCGCAAGGCUGAAACUCAAAGGAAUUGACGGGGGCCCGCACAAGCGGUGGAGCAUGUGGUUUAAUUCGAAGCUACGCGAAGAACCUUACCAGGUCUUGACAUACUAUGCAAAUCUAAGAGAUUAGACGUUCCCUUCGGGGACAUGGAUACAGGUGGUGCAUGGUUGUCGUCAGCUCGUGUCGUGAGAUGUUGGGUUAAGUCCCGCAACGAGCGCAACCCUUAUUAUCAGUUGCCAGCAUUAAGUUGGGCACUCUGGUGAGACUGCCGGUGACAAACCGGAGGAAGGUGGGGAUGACGUCAAAUCAUCAUGCCCCUUAUGACCUGGGCUACACACGUGCUACAAUGGAUGGUACAACGAGUUGCGAACUCGCGAGAGUAAGCUAAUCUCUUAAAGCCAUUCUCAGUUCGGAUUGUAGGCUGCAACUCGCCUACAUGAAGUCGGAAUCGCUAGUAAUCGCGGAUCAGCAUGCCGCGGUGAAUACGUUCCCGGGCCUUGUACACACCGCCCGUCACACCAUGAGAGUUUGUAACACCCAAAGUCGGUGGGGUAACCUUUUAGGAACCAGCCGCCUAAGGUGGGACAGAUGAUUAGGGUGAAGUCGUAACAAGGUAGCCGUAGGAGAACCUGCGGCUGGAUCACCUCCUUAAU
This 1572-nucleotide ribosomal RNA is filed under the name Lactiplantibacillus plantarum. Its description in RNAcentral is "Lactobacillus plantarum partial 16S ribosomal RNA". It matches the Rfam family "Bacterial small subunit ribosomal RNA". The record is from RNAcentral. Lineage: Bacteria; Bacillati; Bacillota; Bacilli; Lactobacillales; Lactobacillaceae.